UUCACAAGGAGAUGUCAUUUAU
Molecule: microRNA, 22 nt
Filed under: Pan troglodytes (chimpanzee)
Lineage: Eukaryota; Metazoa; Chordata; Mammalia; Primates; Hominidae
Source: RNAcentral